CUCCUAAAGAGUAACGGAGGAGCACGAAGGUUGGCUAAUCCUGGUCGGACAUCAGGAGGUUAGUGCAAUGGCAUAAGCCAGCUUGACUGCGAGCGUGACGGCGCGAGCAGGAGCGAAAGCAGGUCAUAGUGAUCCGGUGGUUCUGAAUGGAAGGGCCAUCGCUCAACGGAUAAAAGGUACUCCGGGGAUAACAGGCUGAUACCGCCCAAGAGUUCAUAUCGACGGCGG
RNAcentral lists this ribosomal RNA (228 nucleotides) under Escherichia coli. Its description in RNAcentral is "partial 23S ribosomal RNA". It matches the Rfam family "Bacterial large subunit ribosomal RNA", at positions 2287 to 2514 of the family's 2925-position model. The record is from RNAcentral. Lineage: Bacteria; Pseudomonadati; Pseudomonadota; Gammaproteobacteria; Enterobacterales; Enterobacteriaceae.